GAACGAGCGAGAGAGAGCUUGCUUUCUCGAGCGAGUGGCGAACGGGUGAGUAACGCGUGAGGAACCUGCCUCAAAGAGGGGGACAACAGUUGGAAACGACUGCUAAUACCGCAUAAGCCCACGGCUCGGCAUCGAGCAGAGGGAAAAGGAGUAAUCCGCUUUGAGAUGGCCUCGCGUCCGAUUAGCUAGUUGGUGAGGUAACGGCCCACCAAGGCGACGAUCGGUAGCCGGACUGAGAGGUUGAACGGCCACAUUGGGACUGAGACACGGCCCAGACUCCUACGGGAGGCAGCAGUGGGGAAUAUUGCACAAUGGGGGAAACCCUGAUGCAGCGACGCCGCGUGGAGGAAGAAGGUCUUCGGAUUGUAAACUCCUGUUGUUGGGGAAGAUAAUGACGGUACCCAACAAGGAAGUGACGGCUAACUACGUGCCAGCAGCCGCGGUAAAACGUAGGUCACAAGCGUUGUCCGGAAUUACUGGGUGUAAAGGGAGCGCAGGCGGGAAGACAAGUUGGAAGUGAAAUCUAUGGGCUCAACCCAUAAACUGCUUUCAAAACUGUUUUUCUUGAGUAGUGCAGAGGUAGGCGGAAUUCCCGGUGUAGCGGUGGAAUGCGUAGAUAUCGGGAGGAACACCAGUGGCGAAGGCGGCCUACUGGGCACCAACUGACGCUGA
Molecule: ribosomal RNA, 672 nt
Filed under: uncultured bacterium
Lineage: Bacteria
Description: bacterial SSU rRNA
Rfam family: Bacterial small subunit ribosomal RNA
Source: RNAcentral